GGUCUCUUAGCUCAGUUGGUAGAGCACUGGCCUGAAAAACCAGGGGUCCCCGGUUCAAGUCCGGGAGUGACCA
This 73-nucleotide transfer RNA is filed under the name Pseudarthrobacter chlorophenolicus. Its description in RNAcentral is "tRNA_Phe_GAA". It matches the Rfam family "tRNA". Rfam says of the family: Transfer RNA (tRNA) molecules are approximately 80 nucleotides in length. Their secondary structure includes four short double-helical elements and three loops (D, anti-codon, and T loops). Further hydrogen bonds mediate the characteristic L-shaped molecular structure. tRNAs have two regions of fundamental functional importance: the anti-codon, which is responsible for specific mRNA codon recognition, and the 3' end, to which the tRNAs corresponding amino acid is attached (by aminoacyl-tRNA synthetases). tRNAs cope with the degeneracy of the genetic code in two manners: having more than one tRNA (with a specific anti-codon) for a particular amino acid; and 'wobble' base-pairing, i.e. permitting non-standard base-pairing at the 3rd anti-codon position. RNAcentral also lists the same sequence under 1 other name. The record is from RNAcentral. Lineage: Bacteria; Bacillati; Actinomycetota; Actinomycetes; Micrococcales; Micrococcaceae.